RNA transcript from Fragaria vesca subsp. vesca, 2161 nucleotides. It is a transcript of the gene named probable receptor-like protein kinase At5g39030-like, with no coding region annotated. The record is from RefSeq and is a predicted model, not a curated record. The transcript has 3 exons. Lineage: Eukaryota; Viridiplantae; Streptophyta; Magnoliopsida; Rosales; Rosaceae.
CUGGUGCAUGACUUUGAUCUUGUAUAAGUCUUUGCCAAUCUGUAAUGUGUGGUAGAGUUCUACAGUCCGAUUCCACAAACAAAUUAAGCUCUGGUCUCUGUACGUAAUUGAGUAAUUGACAUCUCCAUGAAAGAGAGCCUUACACUCUCAAUUAAGUCUAAGUUGGAAUGAUCACGUCAAGAAACUCCAUUAAUUAAAAGUAUAUAGACUUUGGUACUGUGAAUCUGGAAUGCGCAAGUCUUUUCUGAUCUCUCUCCAUGGGAACAACUGGGAUUAGGAGCCUGUCCCUGCAGUGUGCUUGGGUUUCAAUUGUAGCCUUUUUGGUUCUUGGCUCAUCUGGUCAUAAAGAUGAUGCCAAGUGUGUCCCUUCUUCUUGCGGCGACAUCCACGACAUCAGCUACCCUUACCGACUGCAACAAGAUCCAGAGCACUGUGGCGUCUACACUUUGGAAUGUGACCACAACAUCACAGUGCUGCGCCUAUUUUCUCAAGAGUACUACGUCAAGGCCAUUGACUACGACAACAGCACAAUCCGAGUGGUAGAUCCUGGCCUCGACAAGAACAACUGCUCUUCCCUUCCUCGUUUUCCUUUGGGCGCAUCGAAUUUCAGUGAUUUAGCUACAUACGAUACAUACGAUUCAUACUGGCAACUAGGAUAUACAGUGGAGUCAGUAAUUUUCUUGAAAUGUGAAAAUCCAGUGAAUUCUUCUCGGUAUGUGAGCACGGCUCCCUGUAUUAACUCCGAAAUGUAUGGUUAUGCCGUUCCAGGCAGUAUCUCCGCCGAAGAUGUGGAGAAUGGGUGCACUGUAUAUUGGAUGGGUCUGACCACUGGGAUGCCCUCCGAGGAGGACCGAAACGUUUCCUAUCAAGAUAUACACGAUCAAAUGGUGUACGGCUUCGAGCUAUGGUCAAUCGCUGGAUUUUGCCGCGGUCAACGGAUUUACUAUAUUUUUUUUUCGGUCAAGUAUGUUAUCCGCGCAGCAUACGAGGUUUCUUUCUACUUGGUUGGAGGUUUUUCUUCGCUCAUUUGUUUCUCGAGAUUACUAUCGUUGGCAGUGUUGUAGUGGGAAAACUUAUAUUUGGAGGUCCAUUUGUGAUCGCAAUUCUGAUACAUAAGUGGCGAAGAAGGCAUUGGUCAACCUACCGCACAAUAGAAGACUUUCUGCAUUCUGACAAUUUCAUGCCUAUAAGGUACUCCUACUCCAACAUUAAGAAAAUGUCAGCUGGAUUCAAAGAUAAGUUGGGGCAAGGGGGGUUUGGGUCUGUGUUUAAAUGCAAAUUACGGAGUGGCCAUUUUGGAGCCAUUAAGUUGUUAAGCAAGUCUAAUGCUAAUGGGGAAGAUUUCAUGAGUGAAGUAGCUACUAUUGGAAGGAUUCACCAUGUCAAUGUGGUGCAGCUUGUUGGUUACUGUGUCGAGGGUUCAAAGCGUGCCUUAGUAUAUGAUUUCAUGCCAAAUGGUUCUCUUGAUAGAUACAUUUACUCCAAAGAAGAAUCCAUCACAUUAAGUUACAAGAAAAUGUAUGAGAUUGCAGUUGGAGUCGCUCAAGGUAUUGAAUAUUUGCAUCAAGGUUGUGAAAUGCAAAUUCUGCAUUUUGAUAUCAAGCCUCAUAAUAUCCUACUUGAUGAGAAUUUUGUCCCAAAGAUUUCUGACUUUGGACUAGCGAAACUAUAUCCAGCAAACAAUAGCAUUGUCUCAUCAAUGGCAGCAAGAGGCACCAUGGGAUACAUUGCUCCCGAGUUGUUUUAUAAAAACAUUGGUGGCGUUUCGUACAAAGCUGAUGUUUAUAGUUUUGGAAUGUUGUUGAUGGAAAUGGCAAGCAGAAGGAAAAAUCUAAAUGCAUAUGUAGAUCACUCGAGCCAAAUUUACUUCCCCUCAUGGGUGCAUGAUCAAUAUAUUGAGGGGAAGGACUUGGAGAUUGGGGAUGCUACAGCAGAGGAGAAGAAAUUAAUUAGAAAAAUGAUAGUAGCUGCCUUGUGGUGUAUUCAAAUGAAACCAAGUGAUCGACCUUCAAUGAAGAGAGUUACACAGAUGCUAGCAGGAGAUGUUGAGAACCUAGAAAUGCCACCAAAGCCUUCUCUAUGCCCACAACCGACGCCUGUAAGCAAUCUGAUUCCAACAUGUUCAAAUGUGGAGCUAACAUGUACUCUUUCUGCUAGGUGA